ACAGAUUUUCACAAUUACUGCCAUUUAUUUUUUAUACAGCCUAAAAAAGGGCAUUUUGCAUAAAAUGCUAGUGUUUUGAGUCACAGUGAUUUAUAAUGUUAUGCUGCAGGGUCUGGGCUUAUGGCACACAAGCGGGUCGCAAGAUCGCCGACAUCCCAUGUAAGAGUUCAGGACGGCUCAGGUAACGGAACACACACACAGUCAGCAUGUUAGAAGGCCGAUACACAGAUUGAGUUUGUGUUUCUCUGUGUAUCUCAGAGAUGCUGAACUCUGUGAUUCUGCCUCCGUGUCCUGAUGAAACCACACACAGCUUCUCGCACAGGAUCUUCAGAGAGGAGCACAGAGAACUGACCAACUCAUUACAGGAGCAGCUUAUAGAGAAGGACCUCCACAUCUCCAGACUGCAAGAUGCUCUGACCUCUGAAAGAGAAAAGGUGAAUCUCUCGUAUGAUGUGCUAUUAAUAAGUCUAAUUUAAAGUUUCUAUAGUACGGUGAGAGGCAAUAGAUCCCAUGUAGGGAUAACUGCAGGCUGGAGCAGUGGGCGUGGCGAAAUGUAGGGGGCGUGGAUAAGGGGUUAGUUUCUGUUGUAGAAUUCACGUAUGGGCACGCCACCUUCUGCCACGCCCAUUACUCCGACCUGCAGGCAGCUACACCUGUCUCACUGACCCUGUUGUCUGUGUGUGCAGUGCGCGCGGCUGCAGUGUCGCAGUAACCAGCAGGGGGCGGAGCUGAAGCGCAGAGAGCAGCACAUCAACCGCAUGAGAGACAAACUCUCACAGCUCACUGACAGACACAAACACCGCGGCGUCUGUGAGACUCAGCACUAUACAAACCAGCUCAUGUUUAACUGCUACUUAUUUCACCCCCAAGGGCCCCACAGACCUCUGGGGCCCUCUGCAGUCUGUUCCCCUCCCCCCCACUAGCAAUGCCCCUGUUCAUUACCACAAUCUGCCUUUUCUCCUUUCUGGAUUGACACAUUCGCCCUUAUCUUGACAAUAUUUAUCAUAAAUGAACAGCAUAAUAUGCUACUAUUCCUAGUAGGUUUUUAAUUUAUACAAACUCCCAGGAGUGCAAGAUGAUGUAAUCAAAAUGUGUAAAUGUUAGGGUUAAGUUACCAUAUAAAAGCCACAAAACAUUUCACUGUUGAAUGAUAUUCCCUGUCCAUAGCCAUGGAGAUAAUAAACGUGUUGCCAAAGCGGACA
Molecule: long non-coding RNA, 1202 nt
Organism: Cyprinus carpio (common carp)
Lineage: Eukaryota; Metazoa; Chordata; Actinopteri; Cypriniformes; Cyprinidae
Source: Ensembl